UCGGGAAUAUUGGACAAUGGGCGCAAGCCUGAUCCAGCAAUACCGCGUGUGUGAAGAAGGCCUGCGGGUUGUAAAGCACUUUCAGUUGGGAAGAUAAUGACGUUACCAACAGAAGAAGCACCGGCUAACUCCGUGCCAGCAGCCGCGGUAAUACGGAGGGUGCAAGCGUUAAUCGGAAUUACUGGGCGUAAAGCGCACGUAGGCGGCCUUUUAAGUCAGAUGUGAAAUCCCCGGGCUUAACCUGGGAACU
RNAcentral lists this ribosomal RNA (250 nucleotides) under uncultured bacterium. RNAcentral's name for it is "partial 16S ribosomal RNA". It matches the Rfam family "Bacterial small subunit ribosomal RNA", at positions 355 to 622 of the family's 1533-position model. The record is from RNAcentral.